ACAUGUAUAUCACCAAUCAAUCAUCACAUAUCUAUGAUUUUACUUAAGUAUAAUCUCCAUUUCAUCAUUUUAAAGCACAACAUGUUGGCCGAUUUUUCCCCUUAGCAUCUAAGGCAUAUGCAUGCUCAUUUGUUUGGCUCAACUUCACCUAUCUUCCAUUUUUCAUCAAAAGAACAUGAAACAACAACCAUUUCCUUCAUUUUAAUUCAUGACUAAAU
This 218-nucleotide long non-coding RNA is filed under the name Gossypium barbadense (sea-island cotton). Its description in RNAcentral is "long non-coding RNA (GBAR_LNC002122)". The record is from RNAcentral. Lineage: Eukaryota; Viridiplantae; Streptophyta; Magnoliopsida; Malvales; Malvaceae.